CGCCAGCAUCCUAGCCGAAGCGCGGACCUCAGUCCCGGCUGGCCGUAUUACACCCUGGGCUAUAACACCUCCACCGAAGUGGAGGCCACAUUCCCAGAGCCUUUAUCCGGCCGCCGAAACUGAUGCUGGCCUGUCCAAACUGAGUAAACCGGUCAGAAGACCGGCCGAACAGUUUAAACAAGUCUGAUUGCAAGCGCUUCCCUUUCAACAAUUUCACGUGCUUUUUAACUCUCUUUCCAAAGUGCUUUUCAUCUUUCGAUCACUCUACUUGUGCGCUAUCGGUCUCUCGCCAAUAUUUAGCUUUAGAAGAAAUUUACCUCCCAUUUAGAGCUGCAUUCCCAAACAACUCGACUCGUCGAAGGAGAUUUACAUAGGGUGCCAUUUCCUGUCACAUACGGGAUUCUCACCCUCUAUGACGUCCUGUUCCAAGGAACUUAGACAGGCGGCUUCCCCAAAUCAUCCUCUACAAAUUACAAUGCGAACCCGAAGGCUAGCUUUCAAAUUUGAGCUGUUGCCGCUUCACUCGCCGUUACUAGGGCAAUCCCUGU
Molecule: ribosomal RNA, 548 nt
Filed under: Aureobasidium proteae
Lineage: Eukaryota; Fungi; Ascomycota; Dothideomycetes; Dothideales; Saccotheciaceae
Description: partial 26S ribosomal RNA
Source: RNAcentral